Molecule: ribosomal RNA, 745 nt
Filed under: uncultured bacterium
Lineage: Bacteria
Description: bacterial SSU rRNA
Rfam family: Bacterial small subunit ribosomal RNA
Source: RNAcentral
AAUUCGAUUGAGUUUGAUCAUGGCUCAGAACGAACGCUGGCGGCAGGCUUAACACAUGCAAGUCGAACGCCCCGCAAGGGGAGUGGCAGACGGGUGAGUAACGCGUGGGAACAUACCCUUUUCUACGGAAUAGCUCUGGGAAACUGGAAUUAAUACCGUAUACGCCCUACGGGGGAAAGAUUUAUCGGGGAAGGAUUGGCCCGCGUUGGAUUAGCUAGUUGGUGGGGUAAAGGCCUACCAAGGCGACGAUCCAUAGCUGGUCUGAGAGGAUGAUCAGCCACAUUGGGACUGAGACACGGCCCAAACUCCUACGGGAGGCAGCAGUGGGGAAUAUUGGACAAUGGGCGCAAGCCUGAUCCAGCCAUGCCGCGUGAGUGAUGAAGGCCUUAGGGUUGUAAAGCUCUUUCACCGAUGAAGAUAAUGACGGUAGUCGGAGAAGAAGCCCCGGCUAACUUCGUGCCAGCAGCCGCGGUAAUACGAAGGGGGCUAGCGUUGUUCGGAAUUACUGGGCGUAAAGCGCACGUAGGCGGAUAUUUAAGUCAGGGGUGAAAUCCCAGAGCUCAACUCUGGAACUGCCUUUGAUACCGGGUAUCUUGAGUAUGGAAGAGGUAAGUGGAAUUGCGAGCGUAGAGGUGAAAUUCGUAGAUAUUCGCAGGAACACCAGUGGCGAAGGCGGCUUACUGGUCCAUUACUGACGCUGAGGUGCGAAAGCGUGGGGAGCAAACAGGAUUAGAUACCCUGGUAG